RNAcentral lists this long non-coding RNA (556 nucleotides) under Brachypodium distachyon (stiff brome). RNAcentral's name for it is "long non-coding RNA (BDIS_LNC005497)". Lineage: Eukaryota; Viridiplantae; Streptophyta; Magnoliopsida; Poales; Poaceae. The record is from RNAcentral.
ACGCAUCAGGCUAGCUUGUUUCCCACCUUGUUGUACGUCUUGCAUUAUUAUUUGCGGUGUUUUUUUUUGCCUUUUACAAGUUUAAAUCUCUCUUUUGAUAUUUGCGGGUCAGUUCUAUACGAAUUGAUCAAAACUAAUUUAACUAAAAAAACUGGAAUGGAUCAAAAAUUGAAAAUACACACGCGCGCGCAGAUAUAUAUAUAUAUAUAGCGCAAUUUCCCUAUAUAUAUACACACACACAUAUACAUAUAGAAAUAAAAAAAAUACAACUAAAGACAAAAAUAAAUUAUUCUUGCGCGCUCUGGUUAUCUUCCCCAAGCCCUCGGUACACUUCUCAAGUGCACCGAUAAAGGUUCAAGAGUUUGCCCCUCGUUGUAGAGACGGAGCGUGUUUUAGCAAUCGAGCAGAGUAUGAGCUUAUAGCCAUGGUGCUCCCGGCAACCCGCCUCAGGAGUACACGCAUACACCUCUUUAUCCAGUCCAUGGCCUCCUCUUUCGGUCCAUCGCCUCCGCCUCCGGUCCGUUUCCCAGCCUCACCCCCACCAAUAAAUACCCUC